AACGCGAAGAACCUUACCAGGGCUUGACAUGUAUCGGUAAGCGGCGGAAACGUCGCCGACCCGAAAGGGACCGAUAUGCAGGUGUUGCAUGGCUGUCGUCAGCUCGUGCCGUGAGGUGUUGCCUUAAGUGGCGCAACGAGCGCAACCCUUGUCCUCAGUUGCCAGCGGGUCAUGCCGGGAACUCUGGGGAGACUGCCGGUGCCAAACCGGAGGAAGGUGGGGAUGACGUCAAGUCAUCAUGCCCCUUAUGUCCAGGGCUGCACGCAUGCUACAAUGCGCGGUACAAAGGGCUGCAAUCCCGCAAGGGGGAGCGAAUCCCAAAAAGCCGCGCUCAGUUCGGAUCGGGGUCUGCAACCCGACCCCGUGAAGUCGGAGUCGCUAGUAAUCGCAGAUCAGCAAUGCUGCGGUGAAUACGUUCCCGGGUCUUGUACACACCG
This 437-nucleotide ribosomal RNA is filed under the name uncultured bacterium. Its description in RNAcentral is "bacterial SSU rRNA". It matches the Rfam family "Bacterial small subunit ribosomal RNA", at positions 958 to 1392 of the family's 1533-position model. The record is from RNAcentral.